UUGCAUUCAUAAGCGGAGGAAAAGAAACCAACCGGGAUUGCCUUAGUAACGGCGAGUGAAGCGGCAAAAGCUCAAAUUUGAAAUCUGGUACCUUCGGUGCCCGAGUUGUAAUUUGGAGAGGGCAACUUUGGGGCCGUUCCUUGUCUAUGUUCCUUGGAACAGGACGUCAUAGAGGGUGAGAAUCCCGUGUGGCGAGGAGUGCGGUUCUUUGUAAAGUGCCUUCGAAGAGUCGAGUUGUUUGGGAAUGCAGCUCUAAGUGGGUGGUAAAUUCCAUCUAAAGCUAAAUAUUGGCGAGAGACCGAUAGCGAACAAGUACAGUGAUGGAAAGAUGAAAAGAACUUUGAAAAGAGAGUGAAAAAGUACGUGAAAUUGUUGAAAGGGAAGGGCAUUUGAUCAGACAUGGUGUUUUGUGCCCUCUGCUCCUUGUGGGUAGGGGAAUCUCGCAUUUCACUGGGCCAGCAUCAGUUUUGGUGGCAGGAUAAAUCCAUAGGAAUGUAGCUUGCCUCGGUAAGUAUUAUAGCCUGUGGGAAUACUGCCAGCUGGGACUGAGGACUGCGACGUAAGUCAAGGAUGCUGGCAUAAUGGUUAUAUGCCGCCCGUCUUGACCCGGGACCA
Molecule: ribosomal RNA, 615 nt
Filed under: Saccharomyces cf. cerevisiae/paradoxus
Lineage: Eukaryota; Fungi; Ascomycota; Saccharomycetes; Saccharomycetales; Saccharomycetaceae
Description: LSU rRNA
Rfam family: Eukaryotic large subunit ribosomal RNA
Source: RNAcentral